RNAcentral lists this long non-coding RNA (474 nucleotides) under Phascolarctos cinereus (koala). RNAcentral's name for it is "lncRNA (ENSPCIG00000029594.2)". The record is from RNAcentral. Lineage: Eukaryota; Metazoa; Chordata; Mammalia; Diprotodontia; Phascolarctidae.
AGAAAAACUUUGAUUAAACAUUCUCUUUUUUCCCAUUUUCCACCAGGUCUUUGCUUUGUAGGAAAGAUGGGCAGCGAUCUGUCACAUAGGUUGACUUUGAGAUAAGCAUUGCCGGUGGAUUCUGAGAACAAAAGCAUUCUGCUGUUUUCUAUCAAUUAUUGCGAACUCUCAAAAGACCAAGAGAACAACAGACAGAGGAAAUGAAAAAGGAGAGGAAUCGUUGACAUUUCAACAUUCUGUAUAAUCUUUGAAGAUCAAAUUAGAAGCUUAAUGUACUGUACCACGUGAGUACCUGGCAGCUUAGGAUAGCGGAAAGAACAUUAGGAAGGAAAGGAGGAAGGGAGUAAGUGUUGCCAUACUACCUGUUAUGUGCCAGACACUGUGCUAAGGAGAGUGAUGAGACCUGGUAUGUAGAACCAGCUUUGUUCUUAACUCAUCAUGUGAUGGUAUACCAAUUAGCUAUCUUCUCUGGGA